GAUGAACGCUGGCGGCGUGCCUAAUACAUGCAAGUCGAGCGAACAGACGAUGAGCUUGCUCCUCUGACGUUAGCGGCGGACGGGUGAGUAACACGUGGAUAACCUACCUAUAAUACUGGGAUAACUUCGGGAAACAGGAGCUAAUACCGGAUAAUAUAUUGAACCGCAUGGUUCAAUAGUGAAAGACGGUUUUGCUGUCACUUAUAGAUGGAUCCGCGCUGCAUUAGCUAGUUGGUAAGGUAACGGCUUACCAAGGCAACGAUGCGUAGCCGACCUGAGAGGGUGAUCGGCCACACUGGAACUGAGACACGGUCCAGACUCCUACGGGAGGCAGCAGUAGGGAAUCUUCCGCAAUGGGCGAAAGCUUGACGGAGCAACGCCGCGUGAGUGAUGAAGGUCUUCGGAUCGUAAAACUCUGUUAUUAGGGAAGAACAAAUGUGUAAGUAACUAUGCACGUCUUGACGGUACCUAAUCAGAAAGCCACGGCUAACUACGUG
RNAcentral lists this ribosomal RNA (497 nucleotides) under uncultured bacterium. RNAcentral describes it as "partial 16S ribosomal RNA". It matches the Rfam family "Bacterial small subunit ribosomal RNA", at positions 28 to 507 of the family's 1533-position model. The record is from RNAcentral.